Molecule: transfer RNA, 87 nt
Filed under: Candidatus Parendomicrobium porotermitis
Lineage: Bacteria; Pseudomonadati; Elusimicrobiota; Endomicrobiia; Endomicrobiales; Endomicrobiaceae
Description: tRNA-Ser
Rfam family: tRNA
About the family: Transfer RNA (tRNA) molecules are approximately 80 nucleotides in length. Their secondary structure includes four short double-helical elements and three loops (D, anti-codon, and T loops). Further hydrogen bonds mediate the characteristic L-shaped molecular structure. tRNAs have two regions of fundamental functional importance: the anti-codon, which is responsible for specific mRNA codon recognition, and the 3' end, to which the tRNAs corresponding amino acid is attached (by aminoacyl-tRNA synthetases). tRNAs cope with the degeneracy of the genetic code in two manners: having more than one tRNA (with a specific anti-codon) for a particular amino acid; and 'wobble' base-pairing, i.e. permitting non-standard base-pairing at the 3rd anti-codon position.
Source: RNAcentral
GGAGAGGUGGCCGAGCGGUUGAAGGCGGCAGUCCCGAAAACUGCUAUACGGGAAACCGUAUCGGGGGUUCAAAUCCCUUCCUCUCCG